AUAUUUUCCUGGGCAGGGAAGAUACCUUGAUCACAAAGGUAGUUUUACUAGGACAAGGCUGACACACUGGAUUGCUGGCUUCUGUGAUUUUUGCUGAAUUUAAACUUGUAUACAUAAUUUGUGAUAAUGGGGGACAAUGUUUGCACUUUCCUCAA
Molecule: small nuclear RNA, 155 nt
Filed under: Dipodomys ordii (Ord's kangaroo rat)
Lineage: Eukaryota; Metazoa; Chordata; Mammalia; Rodentia; Heteromyidae
Description: U1 spliceosomal RNA (ENSDORG00000022422.2)
Rfam family: U1 spliceosomal RNA
About the family: U1 is a small nuclear RNA (snRNA) component of the spliceosome (involved in pre-mRNA splicing). Its 5' end forms complementary base pairs with the 5' splice junction, thus defining the 5' donor site of an intron. There are significant differences in sequence and secondary structure between metazoan and yeast U1 snRNAs, the latter being much longer (568 nucleotides as compared to 164 nucleotides in human).
Source: RNAcentral